Molecule: long non-coding RNA, 314 nt
Organism: Nematolebias whitei (Rio pearlfish)
Lineage: Eukaryota; Metazoa; Chordata; Actinopteri; Cyprinodontiformes; Rivulidae
Exons: 3
Source: RefSeq, a predicted model, not a curated record
GCAGGUAACACCUGAUCAGUCUUUGAUGGACUCUGGAUCUUCUGCCUCCGAGGAGUCCUCUAAAGCUGAUGAGUCGGUGCAGGAAACAUCCAUUACAGAGGAGGAAAACUCCGAUGGUUCUGUGGAUUUAAAAGCACCGAUAGAGUGAAAGUCAGAAAGGAGAUGUAGCUUGUGUCUGGACAACUGAACGAGCGCACACCGAGCGCUCCACAGCCCGGCCACAGAGGCAAAAAAUAACAAGGCAGAAAGACUUGGUUCAUGAAAUAAUGACAAAUCGAAACACUUGUUUUAAUGCCAAUAAAACACUUUGCGCA